UCAGCCAUGUUUGGAUUCCUUUUGGAGUU
RNAcentral lists this non-coding RNA (29 nucleotides) under Rattus norvegicus (Norway rat). The record is from RNAcentral. Lineage: Eukaryota; Metazoa; Chordata; Mammalia; Rodentia; Muridae.